CUCGCUGCACUAAGCUUGUAUUUGUUGGCUGCAAUAUGGUAAUGUGAAAAGGUACAUUCUUAAAUGCUGCACUGCAGAGGUGGCAGCAGAGGGGCAGUCUGACACAAUGGCACCUGACAUGGAACUGCAUAUGAAGCAAAGAUGUGAAAUUUAAUUCCUCCCUGCAGAAAAGGCGACAGACGGUGACAUUCACUGAUGCUUGCUGAACAUCUGUGGAGACCUAACAGUGGAAGUGAGCACCAUGAGGUGAUGAGUGGUGUGUUUCAGCAGUGGUGACAGCAACAGUGAAUUACCUCAGCUGAUGCAUGGAUUUACCAUGGGCCUAAUCAACAUGAUAGCCUCCUGUGCCCCAGGCCCUGUGGUGCUGGAGUUGAUGUUCUGCCAAGCAGAGGACCACUGACUGUGCCAGACAGAGAGGGUGGUUGUCCUUGGCAGCAGAACUACAAAGCAGAUGUUGAGAUGUGCUGCAUACUUUGCUCAACUCAGAUCAGUAGAAGAGCUCAGAGGGUUGUCAUCAGUGACACAGAGUCUGAUUAGAAGCCUGGAACUAGUGGUGUUCCCCAGGAGCUGGUGCUGGAUCUGAUCUUGUUCAACAACAUUGUUAACAACCUGGAUGAAGAGAUAGUCUCCAUCCUCAGCAAGUUUGCUGAUGAUACAAAGCUGGGAGGACAUCCAGACACACUGGAAGGCUGUGUUACCAUUCAACAAGACCUGGACAGGCUGGAGAGUUGGGAAGAGAGGAAAGGUUCAACAAAAGCAAGUAUAGAGUCUUACAUCUGGGGAGGACUAACUGCAUGCAUCAGUACAGAUAAUCCAGCAAGUUACCAGGCCAAAUGGCUCUCUGAACACGAGCCCACAAAGCGCUGAAUGAGGAAGUGCACUGCUCCAGGAGAUUUCAGCACAGCCAGCCAGAAGGUGGCUUUAGCAGUGGUGCUAGAAACAAAAAAAUGGCUUGAAACGGUCACGUGCUGGCUGGCUGGCAGCUGGGUCCAAGGAUUGAAGGUAAAAGACACAGAGGUGGAAAUGAAACACAAGGUCAUUUAAUUUACAAUCCUUCAUUUUGCUCAGCAACUUUUUGACUAGUAUCAUUUUAACACUAUUGAUGAUCUCAACUGAUUAUUUCCUGUAGAGAGUGUUCACAGCCUAAUAUUAAUUGCACAACACUGUAAAAUUUCCAAAAAAUUUGAAGGGGUUAAAACAAAAUGGUACUGCAGCUUUCUGCUAUUAGAUAUCUGCUAAUGGGAGCACAUGAUGAAGGUUAGAGUAAAUUAAUUGCUUGAUUAUACAACCCUUGGAUCUUGCGUUCAUAGGCUAAGUAACAAAUCAGUGUUUCUGUAUAUUUUUAUUCUAAUUACAUAAUGAUAUAGUAGAGUGUAGGGACAGUCAUCCCAAUGGUAAUUUUUAAUUGUGGAAGUUCAGAGACUUCUGGGUAGGUUGGAACAGUAGCUGAACCUGCUGCUCUGUUUUUGGUUUUGCUCACACUGAAAUGUAGGAAAGCCUCUUAGUGGGAUGCAUGCAUGCAUGUCUAGGAAUACUGGCACUGCUUGGUUUCACUAAUUUUUUUUUUUUUAAUAGACAAAGUGGAUUUUCUGCCCAACUUAGAAACAUAAAUCUGCCAAGAUGUAUAACAAAGACUAAGUCAUGGACAAAGCAGCCAGAGGAAACUCUGAAACUGUCUGAUAGCACUGGGGUAACAGAACGUCACACUAAGCUGCAACACCUCAUCCGCCAGCAAGCUCCUUUGGACUGUAGCUGCCCUAUAACGUUUCUCACAUAUGCAUGGAACUAUGAAAUUCAGUGUUCCAGCACAACAUUAGUUAGAUUUAGCUUUGGUGCUUGGCUGCUGGUUACUGCUGAAAAAACAGAGGUUUGCUUUGCUAAAGCAUCCAAAAUGAAAUUUGCUUGCUGUUGCUGCACUAAGUUGCCAUCCAGCAUGCACUGAAGAAAAAAAUCCUGGUUAUUUUCCCAUGGCUCCCUUAGCCAUACAAGUGCUAGGUGGGAAUGCACCUUCCUUGUGAAAAUGGACUGUGGAGAACAGAUCAGCUGGAUUCUCAGGUUGUUCUCCUGGGGCCUUGGCAGGCUGGGACUCAGAGCUGCAGGCAGCCUCCCUUCCACUCAACCUCUGCAGGGUGAGCAAAACAGUGCUUCUACCUCCAUGUAGCUCUGUUUUGUAUAUGUCCUCUGUUCACUGCAAACAUAUGAAAGACACAUGUUUUAUUGCAGAUUUUUUUGGCAUGCAGACAAAGUGCAAGGAGAGGGGCUAAUUAGGCUUCAGGGUGGCACCUCCCUCUAGCAUCAUAAAUAAAAGCUAUUUAACAAAAAAUAUAAUAGGAUGCCAGUAAAAAUGCUUGGAAAUAGAAUUACAAUAGCCAAACUUGUAUUUUGUAAGUUGUUUACCAUAAAUGAAAUAAAGUACAAAGGAAAUGGAAAAUGUGGUAACUGUACUGAAUGCCUUUAUAUAGUUUUCAGAUGCCUCUCGGAGUUAUAUUUUAUUUCCUCUCAAUAUGUUUAUAGACUCUGUGUGGAAGGUCAUACUAUUUUUCCCUAGAGUUUUUUUCCUUCUGUCUUGGCUAAACCUUCCUAGAAGAGUUUUGGAACUUGGCAGUGUAAGAAACUUAAGACAGAGAAGCAGACUUCCCUUCCUAGACAUAUGUCAAUUUGAAAAUAUGAAAAAAAAAAGUUGCAGUAAAUAUAAAUCAAACACCAUGUGAUCUGCAGCAAAGUAGAGGGUUUUACCUAUCAAUCAGCUCUGAAGAUCCCAAAUUUAGUGCAACUAUGUUGAAGAUCACCAUCCUAUCUGCAGUCUCUACGUAGCUCUUAUGAUGACUAAUAUACCUUUCUUAUCUAAAACUAUUAGAGAAUGCUUUUUGCAAGUUAGCACUGGCAGUCACAAGUGAGUGGACACCAUCAUUUUUAACUUAGGUAACAUUCCAACAAAGUAACUGUGUCAUAUCCUUGUGUCAAGAAGGCUCUAGAUCUGAGACUUACCAGGCUAAGGUACAAACAAGAACUGGC
Long non-coding RNA from Gallus gallus (chicken), 3015 nucleotides. NCBI's taxonomy places the organism in Eukaryota, Metazoa, Chordata, Aves, Galliformes, Phasianidae. The record is from Ensembl.